This 535-nucleotide ribosomal RNA is filed under the name uncultured bacterium. RNAcentral describes it as "partial 16S ribosomal RNA". It matches the Rfam family "Bacterial small subunit ribosomal RNA", at positions 357 to 880 of the family's 1533-position model. The record is from RNAcentral.
GGGAAUGCUUCCCACAAUGGACGCAAGUCUGAUGGAGCAACGCCGCGUGAGUGAAGAAGGUUUUCGGACCGUAAAGCUCUGUUGUUGGUGAAGAAGGAUAGAGGUAGUAACUGGCCUUUAUUUGACGGUAAUCAACCAGAAAGUCACGGCUAACUACGUGCCAGCAGCCGCGGUAAUACGUAGGUGGCAAGCGUUGUCCGGAUUUAUUGGGCGUAAAGCGAGCGCAGGCGGAAGAAUAAGUCUGAUGUGAAAGCCCUCGGCUUAACCGAGGAAUUGCAUCGGAAACUGUUUUCUUGAGUGCAGAAGAGGAGAGUAGAACUCCAUGUGUAGCGGUGGAAUGCGUAGAUAUAUGGAAGAAUACCAGUGGCGAAGGCGGCUCUCUGGUCUGCAACUGACGCUGAGGCUCGAAAGCAUGGGUAGCGAACAGGAUUAGAUACCCUUGGUAGUCCAUGCCGUAAACGAUGAGUGCUAAGUGUUGGGAGGCUUCCGCCUGCUCAGUGCUGCAGCUAACGCAUUAAGCACUCCGCCUGGGGGA